RNAcentral lists this ribosomal RNA (513 nucleotides) under uncultured bacterium. RNAcentral's name for it is "partial 16S ribosomal RNA". It matches the Rfam family "Bacterial small subunit ribosomal RNA", at positions 28 to 523 of the family's 1533-position model. The record is from RNAcentral.
GACGAACGCUGGCGGCGUGCCUAAUACAUACAAGUAGAACGCUGACUACUUUAGCUUGCUAGAGUAGAAGGAGUUGCGAACGGGUGAGUAACGCGUAGGUAACCUGCCUACUAGCGGGGGAUAACUAUUGGAAACGAUAGCUAAUACCGCAUAACAGUGUUUAACACAUGUUAGAGGCUUGAAAGAUGCAAUUGCAUCACUAGUAGAUGGACCUGCGUUGUAUUAGCUAGUUGGUGGGGUAACGGCCAACCAAGGCGACGAUACAUAGCCGACCUGAGAGGGUGAUCGGCAACACUGGGACUGAGACACGGCCCAGACUCCUACGGGAGGCAGCAGUAGGGAAUCUUCGGCAAUGGGGGCAACCCUGACCGAGCAACGCCGCGUGAGUGAAGAAGGUUCUCGGAUCGUAAAGCUCUGUUGUAAGAGAAGAACGUGUGUGAGAGUGGAAAGUUCACACAGUGACGGUAACUUACCAGAAAGGGACGGCUAACUACGUGCCAGCAGCCGCGGUAA